This 203-nucleotide ribosomal RNA is filed under the name uncultured bacterium. RNAcentral's name for it is "partial 16S ribosomal RNA". It matches the Rfam family "Bacterial small subunit ribosomal RNA", at positions 28 to 230 of the family's 1533-position model. The record is from RNAcentral.
GACGAACGCUGGCGGCGUGCUUAACACAUGCAAGUCGAGCGGUAAGGCCCUUUCGGGGGUACACGAGCGGCGAACGGGUGAGUAACACGUGGGUGACCUGCCCGUCAGCUCUGGGAUAAGCCUGGGAAACCGGGUCUAAUACUGGAUAUGACUCCAUGACGCAUGUUGGUGGGGUGGAAAGCCUUGUGCGGCUGAGGAUGGGG